This is a small nucleolar RNA of Rana temporaria (common frog), 70 nucleotides long. RefSeq annotates it as small nucleolar RNA SNORD50. NCBI's taxonomy places the organism in Eukaryota, Metazoa, Chordata, Amphibia, Anura, Ranidae. The transcript has a single exon. The record is from RefSeq and is a predicted model, not a curated record.
GAACUAUGAUGAGUCCUAUCCCGAACCUGAAUUGGUGAUGACACAACUUUAUGGAUCUGACUGCUGAGUU